GAUUAACGCUGGCGGCGUGCCUAACACAUGCAAGUCGAGCGGCAGCGAGUUUUACACUGAAUUCUGGAAGCUUCUGGUUGAAAGAGAAGAUACUAUUCAAGAAUUUUGUGUAAAAUGUCGGCGAGCGGCGGACGGCUGAGUAACGCGUGGGAACGUACCCCAAAGUGAGGGAUAACGCAUCGAAAGGUGUGCUAAUACCGCAUAUGGUCUUCGGAUUAAAGCCUUCGGGCGCUUUGGGAACGGCCUGCGUAAGAUUAGAUAGUUGGUGGGGUAAUGGCCUACCAAGUCAACGAUCUUAACUGGUUUGAGAGGAUGAUCAGUCAGACUGGAACUGAGACACGGUCCAGACUCCUACGGGAGGCAGCAGUGAGGAAUCUUCCACAAUGGGCGAAAGCCUGAUGGAGCAACGCCGCGUGCAGGAUGAAGGCCUUCGGGUUGUAAACUGCUUUUAUAAGUGAGGAAUAUGACAGUAACUUAUGAAUAAGGAUCGGCUAACUACGUGCCAGCAGCCGCGGUCAUACGUAGGAUCCGAGCGUUAUCCGGAGUGACUGGGCGUAAAGAGUUGCGUAGGUGGUUUAAUAAGCGAAUAGUGAAAUCUGGUGGCUCAACCAUUCAGACUAUUAUUCGAACUGUUGAACUCGAGAGCAGAAGAGGUAGCUGGAAUUUCUAGUGUAGGAGUGAAAUCCGUAGAUAUUAGAAGGAACACCGAUGGCGUAGGCAGGCUACUGGGCUGUUUCUGACACUGAGGCACGAAAGCGUGGGGAGCGAACCGGAUUAGAUACCCGGGUAGUCCACGCCGUAAACGAUGGAUACUAGCUGUUUGGGGUAUCGACCCCCUGAGUAGCGAAGCUAACGCGUUAAGUAUCCCGCCUGUGGAGUACGAUCGCAAGAUUAAAACAUAAAGGAAUUGACGGGGACCCGCACAAGCGGUGGAUCAUGUUCUUUAAUUCGAUGAUAACCGAUAAACCUUACCAGGUCUUGACAUCCUUGGAAUCUUUCAGAAAUGAGAGAGUGCUUUUUAAGAGCCAAGUGACAGGUGAUGCAUGGCCGUCGUCAGCUCGUGUCGUGAGAUGUUUGGUUAAGUCCAUCAACGAGCGCAACCCUUGUCAGUAGUUGUAUUUUUCUACUGAGACUGCCCCGGUAACGGGGAGGAAGGAGGGGAUGACGUCAGGUCAGUAUUUCCCUUACGUCCUGGGCUAGAAACGUGAUACAAUGGCUAGUACAAUGCGCAGCGAAGCCGCGAGGUGAAGCAAAUCGCAUCAAAGCUAGUCCCAGUUCGGAUUGUAGGCUGAAACUCGCCUGCAUGAAGUCGGAAUCGCUAGUAAUCGCAGAUCAGCAUGCUGCGGUGAAUACGUUCCCGGGUCU
This 1365-nucleotide ribosomal RNA is filed under the name uncultured bacterium. Its description in RNAcentral is "bacterial SSU rRNA". It matches the Rfam family "Bacterial small subunit ribosomal RNA", at positions 28 to 1381 of the family's 1533-position model. The record is from RNAcentral.